CUGUCAGUUUAACUGCCUCAGCCUCAGCCCGGUUCCAAACCCUUGCUGGAGAGGUGAUACAGUCAUUUGGAGGAAAGAGGGUUGCUGUGGUAUGCUGGGGUUCCGCUUCAAUGCCUAGUCACCUCAGAUUUUCCUGUACCUGCAGGUAUCACCAGUGAAGCCUGCGAAGCAGCAAAGAUGGCAGUCUGCCCCGUCUUCUAGGAGCUCUGUCACAGGGAGACAAGCCGUGCUGUGCUGGCGGACCACUUCAGCUCAUGGUCACCUCAGACACUCUGAAGCCUGAAGGCUGGAACAACUAAAUUGCCCAAACAGCAAAUAUGACAGCAUCUACAGAAAUCAUUUUAUUUGAGUUAUGUAGCAAGAACCCAACUUAAGCAAAUAUAAAAUUUACAACUAAGUCACUAUUUGGAUAUUAAUGUGUAUGCUAAACUGAUUUGUUCAUGGGCUAGUCAGCUAUUCAUAUGAUCUUUACAAUUUUCUGAAUUCCAUUUUUUGGUUAAAAAAAGAAAACAAGCUGAUACUUUUAUCACUUUCUAAGAAACAUUUGAUUUAAAUUCUUAUGCCUUCAAUAUCUCAUGUAAAAUGCUAGUUUCAUUACUACUGUAAGUAAAUAUGUGUAAAACAGAAAGUAUCUGAGACAAGUCUCAAUCAGUUUUGAAGUUUAUUUGGCCAAGGUUAAGGAUAUGCCCAGAAGAAAUAAACAUGCAAUCACAGAAACAGUC
Molecule: long non-coding RNA, 722 nt
Filed under: Homo sapiens (human)
Lineage: Eukaryota; Metazoa; Chordata; Mammalia; Primates; Hominidae
Description: long intergenic non-protein coding RNA 2619
Source: RNAcentral